RNAcentral lists this ribosomal RNA (554 nucleotides) under Alternaria alternata. RNAcentral describes it as "eukaryotic LSU rRNA". The stretch from base 200 to 353 matches the Rfam family "5.8S ribosomal RNA". The record is from RNAcentral. Lineage: Eukaryota; Fungi; Ascomycota; Dothideomycetes; Pleosporales; Pleosporaceae.
GGGGUCUCGUACGUGACCUGCGGAGGGAUCAUUACACAAAUAUGAAGGCGGGCUGGAACCUCUCGGGGUUACAGCCUUGCUGAAUUAUUCACCCUUGUCUUUUGCGUACUUCUUGUUUCCUUGGUGGGUUCGCCCACCACUAGGACAAACAUAAACCUUUUGUAAUUGCAAUCAGCGUCAGUAACAAAUUAAUAAUUACAACUUUCAACAACGGAUCUCUUGGUUCUGGCAUCGAUGAAGAACGCAGCGAAAUGCGAUAAGUAGUGUGAAUUGCAGAAUUCAGUGAAUCAUCGAAUCUUUGAACGCACAUUGCGCCCUUUGGUAUUCCAAAGGGCAUGCCUGUUCGAGCGUCAUUUGUACCCUCAAGCUUUGCUUGGUGUUGGGCGUCUUGUCUCUAGCUUUGCUGGAGACUCGCCUUAAAGUAAUUGGCAGCCGGCCUACUGGUUUCGGAGCGCAGCACAAGUCGCACUCUCUAUCAGCAAAGGUCUAGCAUCCAUUAAGCCUUUUUUUCAACUUUUGACCUCGGAUCAGGUAGGGAUACCCGCUGAACUUAA